GGGGUGUAGCUCAGUUGGUUUUAGAGCGCUGGCCUGUCACGCCAGAGGCCGCGGGUUCGAGUCCCGUCACUCC
RNAcentral lists this transfer RNA (73 nucleotides) under marine eukaryotic metagenome. It matches the Rfam family "tRNA". Rfam says of the family: Transfer RNA (tRNA) molecules are approximately 80 nucleotides in length. Their secondary structure includes four short double-helical elements and three loops (D, anti-codon, and T loops). The record is from RNAcentral.